This 1108-nucleotide ribosomal RNA is filed under the name Cladosporium sp. RNAcentral describes it as "SSU rRNA". It matches the Rfam family "Eukaryotic small subunit ribosomal RNA", at positions 33 to 1151 of the family's 1831-position model. Lineage: Eukaryota; Fungi; Ascomycota; Dothideomycetes; Cladosporiales; Cladosporiaceae. The record is from RNAcentral.
CUGUUCAAAGAUUAAGCCAUGCAUGUCUAAGUAUAAGCAACUAUACGGUGAAACUGCGAAUGGCUCAUUAAAUCAGUUAUCGUUUAUUUGAUAGUACCUUACUACAUGGAUAACCGUGGUAAUUCUAGAGCUAAUACAUGCUAAAAACCCCGACUUCGGAAGGGGUGUAUUUAUUAGAUAAAAAACCAAUGCCCUUCGGGGCUCCUUGGUGAAUCAUAAUAACUUAACGAAUCGCAUGGCCUUGCGCCGGCGAUGGUUCAUUCAAAUUUCUGCCCUAUCAACUUUCGAUGGUAGGAUAGUGGCCUACCAUGGUAUCAACGGGUAACGGGGAAUUAGGGUUCGACUCCGGAGAGGGAGCCUGAGAAACGGCUACCACAUCCAAGGAAGGCAGCAGGCGCGCAAAUUACCCAAUCCCGACACGGGGAGGUAGUGACAAUAAAUACUGAUACAGGGCUCUUUUGGGUCUUGUAAUUGGAAUGAGUACAAUUUAAAUCCCUUAACGAGGAACAAUUGGAGGGCAAGUCUGGUGCCAGCAGCCGCGGUAAUUCCAGCUCCAAUAGCGUAUAUUAAAGUUGUUGCAGUUAAAAAGCUCGUAGUUGAACCUUGGGCCUGGCUGGCCGGUCCGCCUCACCGCGUGUACUGGUCCGGCCGGGCCUUUCCUUCUGGGGAACCUCAUGCCCUUCACUGGGCGUGCUGGGGAACCAGGACUUUUACUUUGAAAAAAUUAGAGUGUUCAAAGCAGGCCUUUGCUCGAAUACAUUAGCAUGGAAUAAUAGAAUAGGACGUGUGGUUCUAUUUUGUUGGUUUCUAGGACCGCCGUAAUGAUUAAUAGGGAUAGUCGGGGGCAUCAGUAUUCAAGCGUCAGAGGUGAAAUUCUUGGAUUGCUUGAAGACUAACUACUGCGAAAGCAUUUGCCAAGGAUGUUUUCAUUAAUCAGUGAACGAAAGUUAGGGGAUCGAAGACGAUCAGAUACCGUCGUAGUCUUAACCAUAAACUAUGCCGACUAGGGAUCGGACGGUGUUAGUAUUUUGACCCGUUCGGCACCUUACGAGAAAUCAAAGUUUUUGGGUUCUGGGGGGAGUAUGGUCGCAAGGCUGAAACUUAAGGA